GGCUUCGGGGGUUCACUCCCAACCCAUGUGAACGUUACCAAACUGUUGCCUCGGCGGGAUCUUCUGCCCCGGGUGCGUCGCAGCCCCGGACCAAGGCGCCCGCCGGAGGAAUCAACCAAAACUCUUAUUGUAUACCCCCUCGCGGGUUUUUUUAUAAUCUGAGCCUUCUCGGCGCCUCUCGUAGGCGUUUCGAAAAUGAAUCAAAACUUUCAACAACGGAUCUCUUGGUUCUGGCAUCGAUGAAGAACGCAGCGAAAUGCGAUAAGUAAUGUGAAUUGCAGAAUUCAGUGAAUCAUCGAAUCUUUGAACGCACAUUGCGCCCGCCAGUAUUCUGGCGGGCAUGCCUGUCCGAGCGUCAUUUCAACCCUCGAACCCCUCCGGGGGGUCGGCGUUGGGGAUCGGCCUUCCUUCACGGGGGCCGUCUCCGAAAUACAGUGGCGGUCUCGCCGCAGCCUCUCCUGCGCAGUAGUUUGCACACUCGCAUCGGGAGCGCGGCGCGUCCACAGCCGUUAAACACCCAACUUCUGAAAUGUUGACCUCGGAUCAGGUAGGAAUACCCGCUGAACUUAAGCAUAUCAAUAAGCGGGAGGAA
This 592-nucleotide ribosomal RNA is filed under the name Trichoderma velutinum. Its description in RNAcentral is "eukaryotic LSU rRNA". The stretch from base 205 to 358 matches the Rfam family "5.8S ribosomal RNA". Lineage: Eukaryota; Fungi; Ascomycota; Sordariomycetes; Hypocreales; Hypocreaceae. The record is from RNAcentral.